RNAcentral lists this ribosomal RNA (253 nucleotides) under uncultured bacterium. Its description in RNAcentral is "partial 16S ribosomal RNA". It matches the Rfam family "Bacterial small subunit ribosomal RNA", at positions 524 to 776 of the family's 1533-position model. The record is from RNAcentral.
UACGUAGGGUGCGAGCGUUGUCCGGAAUUAUUGGGCGUAAAGGGCUCGUAGGCGGUUUGUCGCGUCGGGAGUGAAAACCCAGGGCUUAACUCUGGGCUGGCUUUCGAUACGGGCAGACUAGAGGUAUGCAGGGGAGAACGGAAUUCCUGGUGUAGCGGUGAAAUGCGCAGAUAUCAGGAGGAACACCGGUGGCGAAGGCGGUUCUCUGGGCAUUACCUGACGCUGAGAAGCGAAAGCAUGGGGAGCGAACAGG